RNAcentral lists this RNase P RNA (241 nucleotides) under Staphylococcus aureus. RNAcentral's name for it is "partial RNase P RNA component class B". It matches the Rfam family "Bacterial RNase P class B", at positions 153 to 365 of the family's 365-position model. From Rfam's summary of the family: Ribonuclease P (RNase P) is a ubiquitous endoribonuclease, found in archaea, bacteria and eukarya as well as chloroplasts and mitochondria. Its best characterised activity is the generation of mature 5'-ends of tRNAs by cleaving the 5'-leader elements of precursor-tRNAs. The record is from RNAcentral. Lineage: Bacteria; Bacillati; Bacillota; Bacilli; Caryophanales; Staphylococcaceae.
GGAUAGAGUAAUUUGAAAGUGCCACAGUGACGUAGCUUUUAUAGAAAUAUAAAAGGUGGAACGCGGUAAACCCCUCGAGUGAGCAAUCCAAAUUUGGUAGGAGCACUUGUUUAACGGAAUUCAACGUAUAAACGAGACACACUUCGCGAAAUGAAGUGGUGUAGACAGAUGGUUAUCACCUGAGUACCAGUGUGACUAGUGCACGUGAUGAGUACGAUGGAACAGAACAUGGCUUAUAGAA